Long non-coding RNA from Rhododendron vialii, 439 nucleotides. RefSeq lists it as uncharacterized. The transcript is spliced from 2 exons. The record is from RefSeq and is a predicted model, not a curated record. NCBI's taxonomy places the organism in Eukaryota, Viridiplantae, Streptophyta, Magnoliopsida, Ericales, Ericaceae.
GAGCCGAUCUUUUCUUUUUUUUUCUUUUCUUCUUCCUGGGUCAUCUCCUCUCUCUCUCUUAAACAUUCAACAAACCCUCAUCGUUCAAAUGCAAAAUCGAAGGUCAAGACUCGAAAAUGUCGCAACAAGGCAAGAAGAAAACGUGAUCUACGGACAGAGGGCUACGCAUCUAUCCGAACAAAAUCUUGAUCGGCUAACUUUGGAGUUCUUAGCAAAUUCGGAGGUUUUCAUUUUUGAGGUAAGGCGGUGGAUCCGAAGACAUGAUAGCGUUUGAUUUGUUUUUUUUUUUUUUUGAGCUCUCGUGCUCGGGUCUUGCAAGAUCGGGGCGUGACAAGAAUUGAUGUUCUGUCAUAGGCACGGUGUUAUAUUGAUGGAUUAGAAAUGGAAAUGUGGAGGAAAGGAAUGAAAUUUAUUACUGCUAAUAAGAAGCAGUGAAUCA